UCCAGCUCCCUGCUUAUGCACCUGGGAAAGCAGAAAACAGCCCAAGUGCUUGGGCCCCUGCACUCACAUGGGGCACCCUGAAGCAGCUCUGGGCUCCCGGCUUUGGCCUGCCUGUUUGGAGAGUGAACCAGCAGACAGAAGAUCUGUCUCUCCUCCUCCCUCUGUAACUCUGCCUUUCAACUAAUUUUUAAAAAAAUCUUUAAAGAUCUUUUAAAAAAAAACAGAAUAAAAACAAGUACUCUGUAAAAGUCAGAAGAACAUACAUAAAAAUGUUUAAUACAAAAAUUAGAAUUCCAUGACAUACACAUGUAUAUCUCUGUGCACUGUGUUUCUGUUUUUAUCGACUGAGGGGCCUGAUGUUUUUAUUCAGGUGACUUCUUUACGACAGCCAGUUAAGAUCAGUGUACAAAACCCACAAAACCCAGAAGCGUCUGGACCAAAGGGAGAGCGAGCAGGCCGGCAGGUCACCCAGGGAGACACAGCAACCGCCGUUUCCCACGGGAGGGGGCCGGGCACAGGCAGGCAAGCACGGCCUGGGAAUUGCGGCCCGGCGCAGAGGGGGAACACGACCUCGUGAGCAGAGCAGAGCAGCCCGUCAUCCCACGAAACGAACGGAUCGCCGAGCCACAGGCAGCGUGUGGCAGGGGCUCCGGACGCGCCGACAUCUCCCCCCGAGAUGUGCAUUUGUGGAAAAUCCAGAUCUGCAACGAAGAGUCUUGCAGCCCAGAGUGGCCACAGAACGGUGCAGGAUCUGCUUUCGGUAAAGAAGGGCCUGAGUGCUGAGUCGGGCCACGUUUUCCUUCUGGGACCAGAGCAAGGGGCAGGAAGGUUCCUGGAAUCCUGAGCCGCACCUUGGACCACGGGGGUUCACCGGAGGCAGACAUUCAAGGGAGCCGAAGAAUGAACUCUGACCGAGCCGGCUUCUCUUUGAAGAGAUGAUCACUCAGACCUUACUUGGUGAAGCAAAGUCAGGAAUAGAACACGAGCGGAUGCUUACGACCAACUCAGGAGACCCGGGGCUACCAAGUUCCAGCCAACCUCCUGUUCUCAGCAACUAAGUUCAGAAAUUGAUCCAAAGAGAUACGGGAUAAAAACUGCACCACAAGCCACUUUGGAAGAGAGAGAGUUCAACGUGUGAUGCUGACGUGACCAGGUAGCGUUCUAGGAGAAAAGCCUGCCUGAUACCAGGACAAAUUCCAAAUGGUUUCAAAGUUUAAAGGUAAACACUGGAAACCACGGCACACCCUGGAAGAAAAACAGGAUACUCUCCUAAUGCCCUUGGACGACAGCAGUCUUUCUAACUCCCAGUCCAAUCCAGGAGGCAUGGAAUAAAUUUUGAUAAAUUCUAAGGAUGAGACGAGAUAAGGUCAUUUGCAACUUGCACCAGUCAUGAAGGACAAUUUCCCCAACAAACAAGGCUGCAUUACACUGAGAAGAAACGGGGAGCCCUGCAGAAAAUCUACAGGAGAAAGGGUGAGACGCAGUCUUCCCUAACCACUCACAAAACAUGCAGCCAUUUAAUAACAACGGUGGAAAAGCAGCGCUCCCCUGUACUGCUGGCUGAAGAGUGUUCUGGCAACAUCCACCAAAAUUAUUCAUGGUUACUGCUUUACUCGGACUUCUCUGUAGCUAGGCCUCUGAAGGUACCACACACAAGGCCUCUCAUUGCAACCAUUCCGAACACCGACCACUGGAGACUUCAGAUCAUCCCAUGUCCACAUAAGGGAAUAGAAUACAGCUAGAAAACGCAAAGCCAAGGGUCCAGAAUGGAUAUAAAAAGACCUCCAGGCAGGAAGUGCAGAACCAAGAACACAGAGGGUACAGCAGUGCCUGCAGUGGGCUGCAACUCAAGUUCAUAGUCAACGACAGGUAGUUUUUACCCAAUCUGCGUCGCGUAGAUGGUUCCAUGGAUUUACCUUUCAUUGUAUAUUUAUUUAACGGUGCAUUCUAAAAUGAAUUGUUUCCUCAUACCAGGGGAUUCCAAUUCAAUCCCAUCAAGGUGGCAUGUGCCAAUGCCAUCUCACUACUCCAAGUGAUCAAUUUCAGUUCACAAUUGAUCAUAAUGAAAGGACUAAGAGUCAAAGGGAGCACAUAAACAAGUCUAGUAUCUGCUAACACCAACCGAUAGAAUAAAUAAAGGGGAGAGUGAUCCAACAUGGGAAGUGAGAUACUCAGCAGACUCAUAGAAUGGCAGAUGUCCUAAAUAGCACUCUGGCCUCAGAAUCAGCCCUAAAGGCACUCGGAUCUGGCUGAAAAGCCCAUGAGAGUAUUUCAGGCAUGGAAAGCCAAGACACUCUGGCAAAAAGAUCUCUGUGAGUGAGAUCCCAGUGGAAAGAGCAGGUCUUCAAAGAGGGAGGUGCCUUUCUCUGAAGGGAGGAGAGAACCUCCACUUUGACUAUGACCGUGUCUAAACAAGAUAAGAGUCGGAGAACUCAAGGGGCUUCCAUAGCCUUGGAAACUCAUAACUGGUGCAUAGGGAGAUUACUGAUGCCAUAAACAGGAGUGUCAAUUGGUAAAGUCAACAACAGGAGUCACUGUGCACUUACUCCUCAUGUAGGAUCUCUGUCCUUAAUGUGCUGUACACUGAGGCUUAAUGCUAUAACGAGUACUCAAACAGUAUAUUUCACUUUGUGUUUCUAUGGGGGUGCAAACGACUGAAAUCUUUACUUAAUGUACACUAAACUGAUCUUCUGUAAACAAAAAAAAAAGAAAUUAUCAAUUCCCAACUUGACUCUCACUGGGAUUAAACAUGACAAUAGGUCUGAUCUGAUUUCAUCAUCAUUUAAAAAAAAUCAUCUAUUAUUUUUCACUUUAUGUUUCUGUGUGGGAGCAAACUGUUGAAAUACUUACUUAAGGUAUACUAAGCUGAUCUUCUGUAUAUUAAGAUAAUUGAAAAUGAAUCUUGAUGUGAAUGGAAGGGGAGAGGGAGUGGGAA
Non-coding RNA from Oryctolagus cuniculus (rabbit), 2935 nucleotides. Lineage: Eukaryota; Metazoa; Chordata; Mammalia; Lagomorpha; Leporidae. The record is from RefSeq and is a predicted model, not a curated record.